GUUGUAAGAUUAAGCAAGAAAGCGUAUAUGGUGGAUGCCUUGGCAGUCAGAGGCGAUGAAGGACGUGAUAAUCUGCGAAAAGCGCCGGGGAGUUGAUAUAAAACGUUAUUAUCCGGCGAUAUCCGAAUGGGGAAACCCGAUACAUUCAUGUAUCAUUUUUAGUUGAAUAAAAUAGACUAAAAAAGCAAACCAAGAGAACUGAAACAUCUAAGUAUCUUGAGGAAAAGAAAUCAAUUGAGAUUCCCUAAGUAGUGGCGAGCGAACAGGGAUCAGCCUAGAGCAUAGUUAUUAACUAAAUAUUAGUAGAAUAAUUUGGAAAAAUUAGUGAAACAAGGUGAUAACCCUGUAUAUGAAAAUAUUUAAUUUAAUGCGUUCAAAAAGUAAAGCGAGACACGAGAAAUCUUGUUUGAAGAUGGGGGGACCAUCCUCCAAGGCUAAAUACUCCUGACUGACCGAUAGUGAACUAGUACCGUAAGGGAAAGGCGAAAAGAACCCCGGCGAGGGGAGUGAAAUAGAUCCUGAAACCGUAUACGUACAAGCAGUAGGAGCUUUUAAAAGAGUGACUGCGUACCUUUUGUAUAAUGGGUCAGCGACUUGUAUUCUGUAGCGAGGUUAACUGAAUAAGGGAGCCGAAGGGAAACCGAGUCUUAAAAGGGCGAUUUAGUUUCAGGAUACAGACCCGAAACCCGGUGAUCUAGCCAUGGACAGGUUGAAGGUUAGGUAAAACUAACUGGAGGACCGAACCGACUAAUGUUGAAAAAUUAGCGGAUGAUCUGUGGCUAGGGGUGAAAGGCCAAUCAAACCGGGAGAUAGCUGGUUCUCCUCGAAAGCUAUUUAGGUAGCGCCUCGUGAAAUUCAUUUUUGGGGGUAGAGCACUGUUUCGGAUAGGGGGCUAUACCGGCCUACCAAACCGAUGCAAACUCCGAAUACCAAAAAAUGUUAUCACGGGAGACACACAGCGGGUGCUAACGUUCGUUGUGGAAAGGGAAACAACCCAGACCGCCAGCUAAGGUCCCAAAGUUAUAAUUAAGUGGGAAACGAUGUGAGAAGGCAUAAACAGCCAGGAUGUUGGCUUAGAAGCAGCCAUCAUUUAAAGAAAGCGUAAUAGCUCACUGGUCAAGUCGGCUUGCGCGGAAGAUUUAACGGGGCUAAAUUAUACACCGAAGCUGCGGCAGUACUAUAUUAUAUUUGCAUAUAGUACUGGGUAGGGGAGCGUUCUGUAAGCCUGUGAAGAUGUAUUGUAAGAUAUGUUGGAGGUAUCAGAAGUGCGAAUGCUGACAUGAGUAACGAUAAAGCAGGUGAAAAACCUGCUCGCCGAAAAACUAAGGGUUCCUGUCCAACGAUAAUCGGGGCAGGGUAAGCCGAUCCUAAGGUGAGGUCGAAAGGCGUAAUCGAUGGAUUACAGGUUAAUAUUCCUGUGCUUAAUAUUAUUGCGAAGGGGGGACGGAGAAGGUUAUAUCAUCCAGGCGAUGGUAGUCCUGGUUUAAGUGUGUAGGAGUAAAUAGCUAGGAAAAUCCGGUUGUUUAUUAAUCUAAGGCGCGAUGACGAAUUACUAAGGUAAUGAAGUGAUAAACACCAUGCUUCCAAGAAAAGCCUCUAAGCUAUAAUUAAUAUUAAAUCGUACCCUAAACCGACACAGGUAGUUAGGUAGAGAAUACUAAGGCGCUUGAGAGAACUCGGGUGAAGGAACUAGGCAAAAUAGUGCCGUAACUUCGGGAGAAGGCACGCUAGAAUGUAGGUAAAAAAGACUUGCUCUUUUAAGCUGAAUCUAGCCGAAGAUAACAGCUGGCUGCAACUGUUUAUUAAAAACACAGCACUGUGCAAACACGAAAGUGGAAGUAUACGGUGUGAAGCCUGCCCGGUGCCGGAAGGUUAAUCGAAGGGGUUAAGAUUUAAACAUCUGAAGCUCUGGACUGAAGCCCCGGUAAACGGCGGCCGUAACUAUAACGGUCCUAAGGUAGCGAAAUUCCUUGUCGGGUAAGUUCCGACCUGCACGAAUGGCGUAAUGAUGGCCAGACUGUCUCCACCCGAGACUCAGUGAAAUUGAAAUUGCUGUGAAGAUGCAGUAUACCCGCGACAAGACGGAAAGACCCCGUGAACCUUUACUAUAGCUUGAUACUGAACAUUGAUUUCUAAUGUGUAGGAUAGGUGGGAGGCUAUGAAGUUUAAACGCUAGUUUAAAUAGAGCCAUCCUUGAAAUACCACCCUUUAAAAGUUAUUGUUCUAACCUAGUAUCGUUAUCCGGUACAGAGACAGUGUCUGGUGGGUAGUUUGACUGGGGCGGUCUCCUCCCAAAGAGUAACGGAGGAGUACAAAGAUUGGCUAAUUACGGUUAGACAUCGUAAGGUUAGUGCAAAGGCAUAAGCCAGUUUAACUGCGAGCGUGAUAACGCAAGCAGAUGCGAAAGCAGGUCUUAGUGAUCCGGUGGUUUCCGCAUGGAAGGGCCAUCGCUCAACAAAUAAAAGGUACUCCGGGGAUAACAGGCUGAUACCGCCCAAGAGUUCAUAUCGACGGCGGUGUUUGGCACCUCGAUGUCGGCUCAUCACAUCCUGGGGCUGAAGCAGGUCCCAAGGGUAUGGCUGUUCGCCAUUUAAAGUGGUACGCGAGCUGGGUUUAGAACGUCGUGAGACAGUUCGGUCCCUAUCUGUCGUGGGCGUAGGAAGAUUGAGGGGGGCUGUUUCUAGUACGAGAGGACCGAAAUGGACGUAUCACUGGUGUUCGGGUUGUCAUGCCAAUGGCAUUGCCCGGUAGCUAAAUACGGAAAAGAUAAGUGCUGAAAGCAUCUAAGCACGAAACUUGCCCCAAGAUUAGUCUUCCCUGAAGCUUGAAAAAGCUUACUGAAGGGACGUUGGAGACUACGACGUUGAUAGGCUGGAUGUGUACGCAUAGUGAUAUGUUUAGCUAACCAGUACUAAUGACCCGAGAGGCUUAAUCUUACAACACCAGAG
Molecule: ribosomal RNA, 2948 nt
Filed under: Buchnera aphidicola (Hormaphis cornu)
Lineage: Bacteria; Pseudomonadati; Pseudomonadota; Gammaproteobacteria; Enterobacterales; Erwiniaceae
Description: 23S ribosomal RNA
Rfam family: Bacterial large subunit ribosomal RNA
Source: RNAcentral